AUUAAAUCUAUACAAAGAAUUGACAGUUCUUUCUAAGCUCUCAUAAGUACGAAAUACUUUUCGUUCCAAGCCUUUUACGAAAUACGAAUUCCAACACACACACUAUUUCCACAUUUCCGUUCCUAAAUUGGUGUCAAGUGAUUACCCAGCCCGUAUAGUGGUCACCGCAAAACACCUUUUUUACGAGAAGCACUGAGAGAUGACCUACAGUAACUUUCAACGUUAUUAUUUUUACAAAUAAAAAACGUUAAAAUACAGUUGAAAGUUACUACAAUAUGUUUACAAAAUUUCAUAUUAGUAAACUUAAAAGUAUUUUCAGGGAAAAAUCUUGAAAGAGCGCUUUUUGGUCCGCCUAACUUUAUGUGUAACACCCUAAAUAUGUGGGUAGUUAACUAACAUUAAAUAUUGUAAAAGCGUACUAAAUUUUAGCUACGUUUGAAAAGGCACGAGGUCACGAAUGCUACAUUUGUGUAAAAUACAAAGCUGAUAAUAAAAAAGAAGAAUAACAUGAGAGCUGCUAAGCAUCUAAUGCUGUCUGUAACAAGCGAAACGAGAUUCGCUAUUUUUAUACGAGACGAUUAUUGUGGUUUAACUAAAGUUUAAAAAUGCAAACAUAUACCCGACCUAA
Melitaea cinxia (Glanville fritillary) is the source of this 628-nucleotide long non-coding RNA. RefSeq lists it as uncharacterized. NCBI's taxonomy places the organism in Eukaryota, Metazoa, Arthropoda, Insecta, Lepidoptera, Nymphalidae. The transcript is spliced from 2 exons. The record is from RefSeq and is a predicted model, not a curated record.